GUACGAAGUUAAACUCCCAACCCCUGUGAACAUACCACUUGUUGCCUCGGCGGAUCAGCCCGCUCCCGGUAAAACGGGACGGCCCGCCAGAGGACCCCUAAACUCUGUUUCUAUAUGUAACUUCUGAGUAAAACCAUAAAUAAAUCAAAACUUUCAACAACGGAUCUCUUGGUUCUGGCAUCGAUGAAGAACGCAGCAAAAUGCGAUAAGUAAUGUGAAUUGCAGAAUUCAGUGAAUCAUCGAAUCUUUGAACGCACAUUGCGCCCGCCAGUAUUCUGGCGGGCAUGCCUGUUCGAGCGUCAUUUCAACCCUCAAGCACAGCUUGGUGUUGGGACUCGCGUUAAUUCGCGUUCCUCAAAUUGAUUGGCGGUCACGUCGAGCUUCCAUAGCGUAGUAGUAAAACCCUCGUUACUGGUAAUCGUCGCGGCCACGCCGUUAAACCCCAACUUCGAAUGUUGACCUCGGAUCAGGUAGGAAUACCCGCUGAACUUAAGCAUAUCAAAA
This 504-nucleotide ribosomal RNA is filed under the name Fusarium oxysporum. RNAcentral describes it as "eukaryotic LSU rRNA". The stretch from base 149 to 302 matches the Rfam family "5.8S ribosomal RNA". Lineage: Eukaryota; Fungi; Ascomycota; Sordariomycetes; Hypocreales; Nectriaceae. The record is from RNAcentral.